This 1656-nucleotide long non-coding RNA is filed under the name Cottoperca gobio. RNAcentral describes it as "lncRNA (ENSCGOG00000003318.1)". Lineage: Eukaryota; Metazoa; Chordata; Actinopteri; Perciformes; Bovichtidae. The record is from RNAcentral.
GGGGAAAACUCUGACUGUUGUUUGUGCCUAUGCCCCAAACCGCAGUUCUGAGUAUUCGGCCUUCUUGGAGACCCUGAAUGGAGCCCUGCAGGUGGCUCCAGUAGGGGACUCCGUAGUCUUGCUGGGAGACUUCAACGCACACGUGGGAAACGAUGGAGACACCUGGAGAGGCGUGAUUGGGAGGAAGGGCCUCCCUGAUCUAAACCCGAACGGUCGUUUGUUGUUGGACUUCUGUGCUAGUCAUGGAAUGGCCAUAACAAACACCAUGUUCGAACAUAAGGAUGCUCAUAAGUGCACGUGGUACCAGAGCACCCUAGGCCAAAGGUCAAUGAUCGAUUUCGUAAUCGUAUCAUCUGAUCUGAGGCCGCAUGUUUUGGACACUCGGGUGAAGAGAGGGGCGGAGCUGUCGACUGAUCACCAUCUGGUGGUGAGUUGGAUCAAGGGGUGGGGGAAGACUCUGGACAGACCUGGUAAACCCAAACGGGUAGUGCGGGUGAACUGGGAACGUCUGGAGGAAGCCCCUGUCCUGGGGAUCUUUAACUCACACCUCCGGCGGAGCUUUUCAGCCAUCCCUGUGGAGGUUGGGGGCAUUGAACCUGAGUGGGCGAUGUUCAAAACCUCUAUUGCUGAAGCUGCGGUGAUGAGCUGUGGUCUCAAGGUCUUAGGUGCCUCAAGGGGCGGUAACCCUCGAACACCGUGGUGGACCCCGGUGGUCAGGGAAGCCGUCCGACUGAAGAAGGAGUCCUUCCGGGUUAUGUUAUCCGGGAGGACUCCGGAAACAGUUGCAGGGUAUCGAAGGACUAGAAGGGCGGCAGCUUCUGCCGUGUCAGAGGCAAAGCAGCGGGUGUGGGAGAAGUUCGGAGAAGCUAUGGAGAAGGACUUUCGGUCGGCACCAAGGUGCUUCUGGAAAACCAUCCGGCACCUCAGGAGGGGGAAGCGAGGAACCAUCCAAGCUGUGUACAGCAAGGGUGAGACCCUGCUGACUUCAACUGAGAAGGUUAUCGGCCGCUGGAAGGAGCACUUUGAGGAACUCCUGAAUCCGACUAACACGCCCUCUAUGGUUGAGGCAGAGCUGGAAGCUGAUGGGGGAUCAUCGUCAAUUUCCCUGAUGGAAGUCACUGAGGUAGUCAAACAACUCCACAGUGGCAAAGCCGCAGGGGUUGAUGAGAUCCGUCCAGAAAUGCUGAAGGCUUUGGGUGUUGAGGGGCUGUCUUGGUUGACACGCCUCGUCAACAUUGCGUGGAAGUCUGGGACAGUGCCUAGGGGUUGGCAGACCGGGGUGGUGGUUCCCCUAUUUAAAAAGGGGGACCAGAGAGUGUGUGCCAACUACAGGGGUAUCACACUUCUCAGCCUCCCUGGUAAAGUCUACUCCAAGGUACUGGAAAGGAGGGUUCGGCCGGUAGCCGAACCUCUGAUUGAAGAGGAACAAUGCGGAUUCCGUCCUGGUCGUGGAACAACAGACCAACUCUUUACUCUUGCAAGGAUCCUGGAGGGGGCCUGGGAGUACGCCCAUCCGGUCUACAUGUGUUUUGUGGAUCUGGAGAAGGCGUAUGACCGGGUCCCCCGGGUGAUACUGUGGGAGGUGCUGCGGGAGUAUGGGGUGAGGGGGUCACUUUUGAGGGCCAUCCAAUCCCUGUACGCCCAAAGCGAGAGUUG